This 607-nucleotide long non-coding RNA is filed under the name Penaeus japonicus. RNAcentral's name for it is "uncharacterized LOC122248504". The record is from RNAcentral. Lineage: Eukaryota; Metazoa; Arthropoda; Malacostraca; Decapoda; Penaeidae.
UGCUUCCGGUGGAUGUCUUGGAUCACUCAGUUCUUCGGAAGUUUAUGAAAAAAAUCUGGGAUUGCGCUGCUUUUACCCAAAAAUAUUACAAUUUCGUUAUAAUUUGUGCCUCAAAUGAUAAAAAGAAGAGUUUACUUACCACUAAAGGUGCUAGAGUGUCAGAGAAGGCCAUGAACGUUUGACAGGUGAACUCUGAGACUUUUGAACAGUGUGUAUUCUGAGGGGAGCUAUGGCAGUCCUGAGAAAACAACCAACAUAGUUAUACAGAGCCAAACGGACAAAGGGAUCACUGGUGAAGAGAAAACAUUUUCUGUUCCUGCAAAACACAAACAGCUCUGUGAGUGUUCAAAGCAAAGGAAUUCAUAAAGACUUGGUUUGGGGAUAUCACCUCAAAGAUGAGUGCUCAGCUCCUUCAUCCCGGUGUUGAAGCUUCGAAGAUGCUGGAGGCGGCUUUGCAGCAAAUGGAUGGAAUUAUAGCAGGAACUCAGUUAGACCUGGCAAGUCUCCCAGACCGCAGUGUGUCACCAGUUGCCACAAUAUCAGAGUUAGCAGAGAAACUACGUCUUGCACUGCAAAGCUCGCAGGUAUGGUAUUUGUUGUCCUUUUU